Molecule: ribosomal RNA, 500 nt
Filed under: uncultured bacterium
Lineage: Bacteria
Description: partial 16S ribosomal RNA
Rfam family: Bacterial small subunit ribosomal RNA
Source: RNAcentral
AUUGAACGCUGGCGGAAUGCUUUACACAUGCAAGUCGAACGGCAGCACGGACUUCGGUCUGGUGGCGAGUGGCGAACGGGUGAGUAAUGUAUCGGAACGUGCCCAGUCGUGGGGGAUAACGUAGUGAAAAUUACGCUAAUACCGCAUACGAUCUAUGGAUGAAAGCGGGGGAUCGCAAGACCUCGCGCGAUUGGAGCGGCCGAUAUCAGAUUAGGUAGUUGGUAGGGUAAAGGCCCACCAAGCCAACGAUCUGUAGCUGGUCUGAGAGGACGACCAGCCACACUGGAACUGCGACACGGUCCAGGCUCCUACGGGAGGCAGCAGUGGGGAAUUUUGGACAAUGGGCGAAAGCCUGAUCCAGCCAUUCCGCGUGCAGGAUGAAGGCCCUCGGGUUGUAAACUGCUUUUGUACAGAACGAAAAGGUUUCUACUAAUACUAGGAGCUCAUGACGGUACUGUAAGAAUAAGCACCGGCUAACUACGUGCCAGCCGCCGCAGUAA